UGAUUUAGCUGGUAUCUGCAGAAAGCAGC
RNAcentral lists this non-coding RNA (29 nucleotides) under Callithrix jacchus (white-tufted-ear marmoset). The record is from RNAcentral. RNAcentral also lists the same sequence under 2 other names. Lineage: Eukaryota; Metazoa; Chordata; Mammalia; Primates; Cebidae.